GUUUGCAACACUUGUGACAUCAGAAUGUACUACAGAUUAUGUCUUAAAACUUUGUUCUUUGUCAUUUGGUUUCAUUACUUUGGCCGUUACAUACAAUUCGUUUUACGUUAACAGUGACAAAUUAAGGUAUUUAGUGGAACAACUUCAGCUUGUUUAUGAUGACUUAAAAGAUAAUAAUGAAAUUGCCAUCUUUGAAAAAUAUGGAAACGUUUCAAAACGUUAUGCGGCUGCAUUUAUUAGAUUGCCAUUUCUGACACCUGAGCAGCGUACGCACACAAGCGAUGUAUCCAUGACGCGUCACGUCUAAUAUGUGCCAUGGUGGAAGUAUAUAAGGUGAAACAUUCCGGUGGAUGCGUAGUCGUUCAAAAGUAGAGGGGGAGCAAUCAACCAAUCAGAAGUGCCCCAAACAUAAAAUCCACUAUAGCCGACACAAGAUUGCAGAGUGAACGAUAGUGCAGUGAUAGUAAGUGUCAAAUUAAUGAAAAUGACAGGCUGUUUUGUAAAAAAUUGCAAAAAUCGGAUUGAUGUAUAUGUAUAUUUAUUAAUAUAAUUAUUUUGAUUUGGCAAAACUAUGUUUUUAUUUGAUUGAAAUUAUUUUAUUUUAAAUUCCUGUUUUUAGUUCUGAUUGGUUGUCUGCCCAUAAUACCGUCAUUCUGCACAAUGCUUCACCUUGUAUAUUUCUACUAUGUACAUUCAGCGUAUAUACAUAUAACACAGCGCGUUGCCAGUGUACUUACGCUGCUUACGCUGCUCUGGCGUCAGAAAUGGCAGUCCUGUGUAUAAUUAUACAUAAAUUAAUGGGAUGCUGAACUGCUUCUCUAACUUGCUCGGGAUCGAUAAUGUAGAGUCAUUCGUGGCUAUUAUUAAUAAUAUUUUAUAUGUAUUCUUUUAUAGACUUGGAAAUUCUUUUUCAUAAUUUGCCUUGUUCGAACUAACAUCAGCGCCUCAAGUAGUGACAAUAAUAACUAAUUUUUUGGGGAAAAUAGCCAAAACAUGGAAGGUGUGAUAGGCAAUAAUUGCUUCUUAAUUAAUUUUACAGAUAUAUUGGAAUAUGUAGGAACAAGUUUACGACUUUAUUAAGAAGACGAAAGAGUUUUUUUUUGGCAUUGUUAAAAAUUACACAGUUUAUAUUUAUACAGAGAGAAGAUAGAAUAAAGGACGGGAGCCAGUUAAAAAAGCAUCAGGCAAUUAGAAAGAGACAGAAAUCGAAGUGAUCUGGCUGUCCUUGUCUUAGCGUAUGCGCAAAGAAGAGUCUAUAGUUAUAUAUGAGUGUGAAGUUAAAAAAAAUGAAUACAGAUUUUAAAAAUCUAAUAAAUGUUUUAUUAUUAGUGAAAACAUAAUAUAUAUAUUAAAAAUUAUAUAUUAAAAAUUGAAAAUGCAUAUUAUGCACAUUCGAACCAUAUUGCAUAAUAGAAUUUUAUCUUCUCUCUGUUGCUGUGUUUCAAAAUUUGACAGGUGUCACUGAAGUGACAUAUGUAACGGAAACAAUUGCAUAGCUAAAUAUCAAAAACUGUGGAAUGCGCAUACGCGAAUAGACAAUGACAGCCAGGUUACUUGGAUUUCUGUCUCUUUUUAAUAGUCUGAUGUUUCCACUUACACGAUUACCUAUGGCUCCCGCGCUCUAUUCUAUCUUCUCUCUGUAUUUAUAUCUCUCAAAGGCAAAAUUGUCUAUUCUUGAUAUGAUUUUUUCAACUAAUAUUUUUUUCUAUUUAUUCAGAGAUUUUUAUCUUAUCUAAAAAUCUGUUUGGUAAAUUAAGAGACGCUAUUGAACCUAUCCUUAUAAAAAUUAAUAUUAAUCUCAAACACAAUAGAUUCUUUCCUAUAAAAUUAAAAUACAUUAUAGUACGAAGAAUACUUCAUGGAAAAGUACUUAAUAAAAAAAAGGAACGUAAAACACAUUAAUGGUGUAGUGUUCCUCAAUGUAAUUUUAAAAGUAACAAAACAUUACAUUUCCAAAAAACAAAAA
Monomorium pharaonis (pharaoh ant) is the source of this 1966-nucleotide long non-coding RNA. RefSeq lists it as uncharacterized. The transcript is spliced from 3 exons. NCBI's taxonomy places the organism in Eukaryota, Metazoa, Arthropoda, Insecta, Hymenoptera, Formicidae. The record is from RefSeq and is a predicted model, not a curated record.